Molecule: unclassified non-coding RNA, 347 nt
Filed under: Hevea brasiliensis (rubber tree)
Lineage: Eukaryota; Viridiplantae; Streptophyta; Magnoliopsida; Malpighiales; Euphorbiaceae
Source: RNAcentral
CAGAAUUCGGAGGAAGGGAUGGUGGAAUUUAUUGGGAUGUUGAAAAUCAGAAUUAAAAAUGGUACAAAUUUAGCUGUCAGAGAUAUGAUGUCAAGUGAUCCUUAUGUGGUCCUCGCUCUUGGGAAACAGAGAGUUCAGACAUCUGUAAUAAGGAGCAACUUGAAUCCAGUUUGGAACGAGGAACUCAUGCUGUCAGUCCCACAGAAUUUUGGACCUGUAAAGUUGGAAGUUUUUGAUUAUGACACAUUUUCAGCUGAUGACAUAAUGGGAGAAGCAGAGCUUGAUAUCCAACCGCUAAUAACGUCAGCCAUGGCGUUUGGGGACCCAGAAAUGUUUGGAAACAUGCA